UACUUUUUAUUUCGAACAUAUGAAGUAGUUUAUAACUACUUCCUGGCAUUGCAAACUUUGGCCUUUUCACAUUACAUUAGUUUUUUUAAACGGCACUGGGUACGUAUUGCUGUGAAAGAAGCAGGAUAUUGUUCAGAUGCUGGAUCCAGUGGAUCAAUUUUCGGUAUUUGGUAUAGAUUAAACUGUGGCUAGCCUGAAAGGUUAAAAUAAUAAUUUAUUUAAUUUCAAUACUUGUCCUGUAAGUCAAUCAGCUUCUUGACAGCCUUUGAAAUUGGGUUAUUUAGCGUUGGGUUUUUCAUGGUGUUUUUAACUGUCCUUUUUUCCUUCUUUUUUCUUUUUAUUUUUGAAUGAUUGUCUGUGAUUAAAAGCACAACGUUAUUCCUGUAACUCUGUUGUACAAUAGGAAAAUUUAACAACUAAGGAAAAACAUAAAGCAUUACUAACAGCAGAGGCAACAAAUGAUUUGAGCUGGUGUCAUGGUUUGCUUUACUUUCACAAUUAUUACAGUUUUUUUUAAUGAUAUUUUGGAAAAAGUGCCUUAGUGCCCUUGGAUACAUCGCCAUGGAACUGAAACACUGGGAUUUAAGUGACUUGCUGAAAGUUAUCCAGCGAUUUUAUUUCAAAAGAAGGAGAAGCAGCAGUUAGCAAAUGUUUGUACAACCUGAUUACAUAGCAGCGAUGUGGCAAGGCUGGUAUUUCCUUAACACCUGCUGCUGAUAGUUUCCUAAAAAGACCUGUGAAAACAGAUGCUG
Molecule: long non-coding RNA, 752 nt
Organism: Lagopus leucura (white-tailed ptarmigan)
Lineage: Eukaryota; Metazoa; Chordata; Aves; Galliformes; Phasianidae
Exons: 3
Source: RefSeq, a predicted model, not a curated record